UACGGAGGGUGCGAGCGUUGUCCGGAAUCACUGGGCGUAAAGGGCGCGUAGGCGGCCCUGGCAGUCGGUGGUGAAAGCCCGUGGCUCAACUACGGGUCGGCCACCGAUACUCCAGGGCUCGAGUUUGGUAGAGGCAGAUGGAAUUCCGGGUGUAGCGGUGGAAUGCGUAGAGAUCCGGAAGAACACCGGUGGCGAAGGCGG
RNAcentral lists this ribosomal RNA (201 nucleotides) under uncultured prokaryote. Its description in RNAcentral is "partial 16S ribosomal RNA". It matches the Rfam family "Bacterial small subunit ribosomal RNA", at positions 524 to 724 of the family's 1533-position model. The record is from RNAcentral.